This 607-nucleotide ribosomal RNA is filed under the name uncultured bacterium. RNAcentral describes it as "bacterial SSU rRNA". It matches the Rfam family "Bacterial small subunit ribosomal RNA", at positions 331 to 929 of the family's 1533-position model. The record is from RNAcentral.
CCAGACUCCUACGGGAGGCAGCAGUGGGGAAUCUUCCGCAAUGGGCGCAAGCCUGACGGAGCAACGCCGCGUGAGUGAAGAAGGUCUUCGGAUCGUAAAGCUCUGUUGAUGGGGACGAACGUGCCUAAUGCGAAUAGUUUUAGGUAAUGACGGUACCCAUCGAGGAAGCCACGGCUAACUACGUGCCAGCAGCCGCGGUAAUACGUAGGUGGCGAGCGUUGUCCGGAAUCAUUGGGCGUAAAGGGAGCGCAGGCGGGCAUGCAAGUCUUUCUUAAAAGUGCGGGGCUCAACCCCGUGAUGGGAAAGAAACUAUGUGUCUUGAGUACAGGAGAGGAAAGCGGAAUUCCCAGUGUAGCGGUGAAAUGCGUAGAUAUUGGGAGGAACACCAGUGGCGAAGGCGGCUUUCUGGACUGCAACUGACGCUGAGGCUCGAAAGCCAGGGGAGCGAACGGGAUUAGAUACCCCGGUAGUCCUGGCCGUAAACGAUGGAUACUAGGUGUGGGAGGUAUCGACCCCUACCGUGCCGGAGUUAACGCAAUAAGUAUCCCGCCUGGGGAGUACGGCCGCAAGGCUGAAACUCAAAGGAAUUGACGGGGGCCCCCACAAG